This 402-nucleotide ribosomal RNA is filed under the name uncultured bacterium. Its description in RNAcentral is "bacterial SSU rRNA". It matches the Rfam family "Bacterial small subunit ribosomal RNA", at positions 355 to 754 of the family's 1533-position model. The record is from RNAcentral.
UGAGGAAUAUUGCGCAAUGGAGGCAACUCUGACGCAGCCAUGCCGCGUGCAGGAAGAAGGCGCUACGCGUUGUAAACUGCUUUUAACCGGGAAGAAACCCCAGGACGUGUCCUGGGUUGACGGUACCGGAGGAAUAAGCACCGGCUAACUUCGUGCCAGCAGCCGCGGUAAUACGAAGGGUGCAAGCGUUAUCCGGAUUCAUUGGGUUUAAAGGGUGCGUAGGUGGGGCGUUAAGUCAGUGGUGAAAGCCCACAGCUCAACUGUGGAAUUGCCAUUGAUACUGGCGCUCUUGAGUGCGCUUGAAGUAGGCGGAAUAUGCCGUGUAGCGGUGAAAUGCUUAGAUAUGGCACAGAACACCAAUUGCGAAGGCAGCUUACUAAGGCGAUACUGACGCUGAGGCAC